ACUUACCUCAGGUGAGGAAAGGAGUGCAGUUCAAUUCUUGCUGUAUCAGCUGUAGUUGCUGUUGGAGUGUUUGAUAACCGAAUAACGCAUUUGUAAUGGCUGAUGGCAAUGACUGUCCGUGCUGUAAUUUACCAGAAUGGCUGGAGAUCUUGAUGCGAUUUUUACACUCUGUGUCAAAAUCUAAAUUACUCUGCGACCAAGCCACCCCAAAUCUGUGUUUGUCUGUCAGCUGAAAUGGAUCCACUUGUGGUAUGUACGGAGAAUGAAGUGUGCAGACCAGACCAUGUAUUCUGCAGAGCAGGCUGGAAGCCGUACAUCCAGGAUGUACUGCUGAGGGCUUGAUGGAAGUCAGUGCAAGAGAGACACAAAAAUAUUUCCUGAAUCCAGAGGCGCCAAUUUUUGUGAGUUAAAAUGUGGCAUCUGUCGGUGUAAAAAGGAUUUUGGAUUCUCCAUCCACACUGAAGCAGAGAGGAUGUGGCUGAAUCUAUACAUCAUGAGGGAUUUUUGCCACCUUAUCUAAUGCACAUGUGAAAGGGAAGUACUGACGAAGGAUGUUAAUCCUGAACACAUACGUGACAGUGCAAGCUAUUGACAUGUCUGGUUCUUGCCCCAAAGACCCAGUGUCAAAAACUCCAUUCCCUGUGCUACCCUGAAUUGGAUACAUGGAGAGCUCUCAAUCUUGCAUCGUGUAAUGGAGUAAUUUUCCAACAAUGUAGUGGUACGAAAAUCGUAUUUUUGGCCAAUACUGUACAUUCCUGGCUAAUGUACCAAUGGCUUCAUGGAAAGGGAAGUAUUAAAUUUGAGAGGCAAGUGCUACUAAGGUCUGAAUACAUUACGUUUACAACAGGUUGCAAAGAUAGGUAUCAAGAGACAGUUUGAAAGAUCUUUCAGAUGAUGUUAGCAGAUUCAUAAUUAAGAUAUGGUAUGGUACUCAAAUAUUGACGUAUACACUCAUAAUUUGCUAAAUGCAAGUUAUUAAGCAUAUUAUACUACUUCAAUUCUUGUGAUACAUAUUUGACUUUAUCCAUAAAAUGUAUGU
This is a long non-coding RNA of Schistocerca serialis cubense, 1039 nucleotides long. RefSeq lists it as uncharacterized. The transcript is spliced from 7 exons. Lineage: Eukaryota; Metazoa; Arthropoda; Insecta; Orthoptera; Acrididae. The record is from RefSeq and is a predicted model, not a curated record.